AGCGGGAUUUACAAACAUGAUUACCCCGGUGAAGAUAGGCUUUUCAACCUUGCCGGGAUACACUGAAUUGAGUUAAAGCUUUUCGGGAUACUGGAAAGUGUAGGCUUUUUGCUUGAAGCAAUUCAAGCAAAGAAGACAGCAAAGCUGGCAACAAAGUGGUGUAGUAUAUCAUCAUAAGGACGUCAAAAGUAGAAUCCUUGUGGCUGACGAAUAAUAAACGCUUGCGGUGCAAGAAUAACCUGUUUGUGUUCGUGGUGUGAAAGACUACAAACAAAACAGGAAUUUCAUUAAGUCGGCUUGCCUUGAAUCCGGGAAACCGGAGUAUAACACAAGAAAUUCGUUAAAGUAGCGGUAUGGCAAAACAAAAUUUUUUUUGCAAAUCAAAAAAAAUUCCGAAAGAACCGUGAAAUUUGCAGGUUAAAUUCGCUCCCUGUCCGUGCUUGACAGCGGUAAGAAGCCAAGGGUCGCACCCGGAAGCUCGGACUUAUCGUCACGGUGACUGAAUGUGACUGCGGGUAUGAUGAAUAAAGAGAAGUCUUAAUCAUGUUUGUUUUUUGGA
Molecule: non-coding RNA, 559 nt
Submitted as: unclassified sequences
Source: Rfam